RNAcentral lists this ribosomal RNA (441 nucleotides) under uncultured bacterium. RNAcentral's name for it is "bacterial SSU rRNA". It matches the Rfam family "Bacterial small subunit ribosomal RNA", at positions 958 to 1398 of the family's 1533-position model. The record is from RNAcentral.
AACGCGAAGAACCUUACCUACCCUUGACAUCCUAGGAAUCCUGUAGAGAUAUGGGAGUGCCGAAAGGAACCUAGAGACAGGUGCUGCAUGGCUGUCGUCAGCUCGUGUUGUGAGAUGUUGGGUUAAGUCCCGUAACGAGCGCAACCCUUAUCCUUAGUUGCCAACGCGUGAUGGCGGGGACUCUAAGGAGACUGCUGGUGAUGAACCGGAGGAAGGCGGGGACGACGUCAAGUCAUCAUGGCCUUUAUGGGUAGGGCUACACACGUGCUACAAUGGACAGUACAAAGGGUAGCGAAGCCGCGAGGUGGAGCCAAUCCCAAAAAGCUGUUCGUAGUCCGGAUUGAAGUCUGCAACUCGACUUCAUGAAGUCGGAAUCGCUAGUAAUCGCGAAUCAGAAUGUCGCGGUGAAUACGUUCCCGGGCCUUGUACACACCGCUCGUC